Molecule: long non-coding RNA, 274 nt
Organism: Perognathus longimembris pacificus (Pacific pocket mouse)
Lineage: Eukaryota; Metazoa; Chordata; Mammalia; Rodentia; Heteromyidae
Exons: 3
Source: RefSeq, a predicted model, not a curated record
UUCUUUAGGAAGGGCCUUGGCCCAGUGAAAGAGGGUGAAGCUCAGUUCGCCGUGGUCCACUGCACAGGGUACAUCAAGGCCUGGCCGCCUGCAGGAAUGACCAUCCCUGAUGAAGAUGCUGAUGUGGGACAAGGCAGUAAAUACUGCCUUGUAGCAAUUGGGAGACUCCAGGUGACCAGCUCUCCAGUGUGUAUGGAUAUGAAUGGGGUGUCGGUGCCCACAGAGUUCUUGUCCCGGCAUAACUCUUUUUUUUUUUUUUUGGCCAGUCCUGAGG